CGAGGGAGCAAGAGAGAGUGUGCGAGCCAGGGAGGACGGAGCAACCAAGCGAGGGGACAGCAGGAGGGAGCCACUCAAGUCCGACUCAAUGGAAUCAAAAACUGCGCAGUUACUUUUCCCACCGCAGCCUGUUCCCGCGCGAAACGGAUGGGAGUUUCAUCUUUUUGCGAAAUGAAAACCCGCUAGGAAAGAUGAGCCGUUGGAUAUCUGAGGAGGCUGGGACCAGAAGCGCUGUGCAAUGAUUUUCUGCGCGUUCUGACUGUGCAAAACCGUGCCCAUCCGUCAUGCCAUGCCACAACCUCUCGAGUGGGCGUUUAUCUAACCAUGCCGCUGCCCUGUCCGUGUCUACCUGCUGCUGCUGCUGCUGCUGCUGCACUAGAGAGGAGAGCAGAGCAGAGCGCGUUUGGAUGUCGUAGUUUGGGAAUAACACUUCUUUUCAUUUUGGCUUUGCUGCGUCAUUCGUGGCACUUGCCGCACGGUACCGAGAUGGAGAGCUCUGCGAAUCCGGUUGUGGUGCGCCCUUUUCGGCCUCUCGCCACUUCACCAGCGCGAUUCACGAGUGCGGACGGAAGAGAGGCAGAGAGGAAAGGGCAGAUAUUUGAAGAACCACCAGCUCCAGACUAGAAUCAACCCGCUUCUGCAUCUUGUCAGCAGCAGCGCUUCCAUGGCAACAAGGAAAGAGAAGAUAUUGUGUUUUAUGAAUAUGGGAAGGAGUGAGAUCACAGCUUUAAUAGUCUUCACAGCUACUGACUAGAACAUCGCUGUCGGCCUUCAGUCUCCAGUACGUUUUGUUUUUGGCCGACCUGUAUGGAGAUAGGUUAGUGUCAUUCUCAUCAAAUAAAUAUCACGACAAUCACAAAUACAUUUCUUCUUCUCUACCUCCUCUGUCCUGUCUCCUACCUCCUCUGUCCUGUCUCCUACCUCCUCUGUCCUGUCUCCUGCCUCCUCUGUCCUGUCUUCUACCUCCUCUGUCCUGUCUCCUACCUCCUCUGUCCUGUCUUCUACCUCCUCUGUCCUGUCUCCUACCUCCUCUGUCCUGUCUCCUACCUCCUCUGUCCCAUCUCCUGCCUCCUCUGUCCUGUCUUCUACCUUCUCUGUCCUGUCUUCUACCUCCUCUGUUCUGUCUCCUGUCUCCUCUGUCCUGUCUCCUACCUCCUCUGUCCUGUCUCCCAACUCCUCUGUUCUGUCUCCUGUCUCCUCUGUCCCGUCUUCUGCCUCCUCUGUCCUGUCUCUUACCUUCUCUGUUCCUUGUGUCCUGCCUCCUCUGCCCUGUCUCCUACCUCCCCCCUUUUUUCCUGUGUCUUACCUCGCCUCUCUUGUCUCCUACCUCCUCUGUCCUGUCUCCUACCUCCUCUGUCUUGUGUCCUACCUCCUCUGUCUUGUGUCCUACCUCCCCUGUCUUGUCUCCUACCUCCUCUGUCGUGUCUCCUACCUCCUCUGUCAUGUCUCCUACCUCCUCUGUCUGUCUCCUACCUCCUCUGUCCUGUCUACUACCUCCUCUGUCCUGUCUCCCACCUCCUCUGUCCUGUGUCCUACCUCCUCAGUUCUGUGUCCUACCUCCUCAGUUCUGUGUCCUACCUCCUCAGUUCUGUGUCCUACCUCCUCUGUCCUGUCUCCUACCUCCUCUGUCCUGUCUCCUACCUCCUCAGUUCUAUGUCCUACCUCCUCAGUUCUAUGUCCUACCUCCUCUGUUCUGUCUCCUGCCUCCUCUGUUCUGUCUCCUACCUCCUCUGUCCUGUCUCCUACCUCCUCAGUUCUAUGUCCUACCUCCUCAGUUCUAUGUCCUACCUCCUCAGUUCUAUGUCCUACCUCCUCUGUUCUGUCUCCUGCCUCCUCUGUCCUGUCUCCUGCCUCCUUUUUCGUGUCUCCUACCUCCUCUGUCUUGUCUCCUACCUCCUCUUUCGUGUCUUCUACCUCCUCUGUCCUGUCUCCUACCUCCUCUCUUUUUUCCUGCAUCUUACCUCUCCUCUCUUGUCUCCUACCACCUCUGUCUUUUCUCCUACCUCCUCUUUCCUGUCUCCUGCCUCCUCUGCCUUGUCUCUUUCUUCCUCAGUCCUGUCUCCUCUGCCUUGCCUCCUCCUUCCUCUGUCCUGUCUCCUGCCUCCUCUGUCCUGUCUCCUCUACACCACCUCGUUCCUCCUUGCUCACACUUCUUCUUUACGUCAUCUCUCGUUGCCUUCUCACAACUCCUCCUUCCUGUCAUGUUUCUUGCAUCUGUUCUGAUCUCCUUUCUCCUCUCUACUAUUUCCUAAAUCCUCUCAAACACCUCCUCUUCCUUGUCUCCUACCUCACCCUGUUUCCUACAUCCUCAGACAUGCCUUUAGAUUCUGCGUCCUAGCUCUCAAAUACCUCUUACGUUCACCGGAUGACUGAGCUCAGAGUUGAUUGUGUUUGUUCUAAUAGACAAAUUCCACUCUUCAAUAGGGACUUACGCAGAUUAUCUAACUCCGUUCUUAACAAGUUAUGGAACAUUUUUAAAGGGAUUAUAUUAUGCAAUUUUUAAAAUCUGUGUUCUAAUGUUUUCUCAUCACAAACAGACCUUGAGUUGUGUUUUGUUUCAUUCACAUGUUUAACACACAAACUCUGCAGAUUUAGGUGGAGUUCAUCUCUCAAACAGAAAAAAAAACCUCCCUUCCACCUUGUGAUGUCAUGUGGUAAUAAAAGAAAAGGUCCAUUGUGUUUUUAAACUCCAUACACCUUCACUAAAAUCGCUUGGAUCAUUGCAGACCUGGAAUUGGCCAUUUCUAGUGUGCAAAAGAGUAGCUGUUUACUCGAAUACUACCACUACAUGACAUCACAAGGUGGAACAGAGCAUUUUGAGCUUCGGAGAUGUAGCCAGAAUAACAAAUGGUUACUCAGACGUGUAAAUGAAACAAAACGCAACUCCAGGUCUUAUUUUGAGGAGCUGACAACAUUAUAACAUGGCCUAAAGUAGACCUGUCACGAUAACACAUUUUGAAACACGAUAUAUAUCGCUACAGAGAGGUAUCGUGAUAAACAAUAAUAUUUAAUAUAGGAUAAUCCCAGUAAACCAGUUUUUAAAUAGCAUAAUCUUAAAAAGCAUGAGCUCCAACAGAACAGAACAGAAUUAAGUGAAAAAUAGCAAGUUAUUUGUUCAAGUGUCUACAACUCAAAUCUUUUCUUAUUAUAUAAAAAUGCCGAUAAAAUCUCCUCACUGUUGCAAAAAAAAAAAAAAAAAAAAAAAAGGACCCAUGUUAAAUAUUGUAUUGAAUGAUAUGUCAGUAUUGUAAUUAUCGUGACAGGUAUAUCUCUAAGCUCACAAGAGUCAAUUUUGCCUAACAUAGAACUUUAGAAUUAAGGCUGUGUAAUUAAUUUAAUUUUUUCACGAUUUGUGUGUCAAAAAAUCACCAAACUCAUAUAAUCAAGUUGAAACGAUAAAGCUUAACAAAGUUUAUUUUGGGUAUAAAUAAGUAUAUUUAUUUUAUGUUUUAGAUAUAGAGAUUGUAGAACAGCUGGAUAUAUAGUUUAUUUUGGAUAUGUUUGUUUUUCUAUUUACAAAGUAUAUUUUAUUCAUUUUAUGUUUUAUACAUUGCAAAACUGCUCUAAGGUACAUUGCACAUUUGUAGUGGGGAUGUAACAAUAUCUAAAUCUCUCAGUACAAUAUUAUCACGAUAUGCAUCUCAUGCUACGAUAUUUAUUGCAAGAUUUUGGAGAGGCUAAUUAGAUAGGACACGUUUCUGCUUUUAAAAUACUUUGACAAGAUUUUGGUGUGAAUUAUUACCAUCAUAAUCCCAAGAAUUUCACUAAAAAACACAUUCUCUUCACUGAAGUGAAUCAUGGGAUAUGUAGUUCCCUAUGUUUAUAAGCUGUUUCUUCUAUAAAACCUGCAUUUAAGCAAAGGAACCUGUAAUUCAAUAUAUUGU
Boleophthalmus pectinirostris (great blue-spotted mudskipper) is the source of this 3884-nucleotide long non-coding RNA. RefSeq lists it as uncharacterized. The transcript has 3 exons. The record is from RefSeq and is a predicted model, not a curated record. Lineage: Eukaryota; Metazoa; Chordata; Actinopteri; Gobiiformes; Gobiidae.